GCCUACGUAGCUUAAACCCACCCAAAGCAAGACACUGAAAAUGCCUAGAUGGACUCACACCCCGUAGACA
Molecule: transfer RNA, 70 nt
Filed under: Cercopithecus erythrogaster pococki
Lineage: Eukaryota; Metazoa; Chordata; Mammalia; Primates; Cercopithecidae
Description: partial tRNA-Phe
Source: RNAcentral